Molecule: long non-coding RNA, 914 nt
Organism: Hipposideros armiger (great roundleaf bat)
Lineage: Eukaryota; Metazoa; Chordata; Mammalia; Chiroptera; Hipposideridae
Exons: 6
Source: RefSeq, a predicted model, not a curated record
UGGCUGUUUGUAAGAAUUCUAGGGGCCAAGCCAUGCUAGUUCCAAACCAGCAGGGGGAGCCGCCCCUUUUCUGAGGAAAAGGAGCAGGAAUCGCUGACACACUGGACCUUGAUGGGGUUCUAGGGAGGCUGCAGAAAAGCUCUGUGACAGGCAAAUCCUUUUUACUUUUUCCAGAGCUGUCAGCAAAAUGGGGAUAAUAACAUCUACUUUGGAACUGUUCUGAGGAUCACGUAAGGAGACACAAUUGAAAUUGUGGAUUAUAAAGCAUGAAUCAACGAUGCUCUUUCUCUGCAUUUCUUCACAUACAUAGAUCUAAAGAGGUCCCGGCUCCAAGGAGAGAGAACCUAGAACAAGGCCUGGGAACAGGAGGAAGAGCAGGUGCCUCCAGAGUCACAACAGUCGUUCAAGAGGCUCUUUGAUGCCAUGGCCUUCCCUAGGAUAAAGAGUCCUCCACAGCCCUGUGUCCCGUCAACUUGAUGUCACAUGUGAACAGGAAUGGGCAUCCCUUCCAGAUAGAAGAUUUCCGACCACACUUCCUGACAAGCAGCAGGACCUUGGGAUCUGAGGUGGAGCCCAGCAACUAACAAGACAGAACUUACCACCUGCCUGGGAGUGAGCAGUUCAGGUUGUAAAUGGUGACCUUCCGUCUACAUAUAACACAGAUGAAGACAGCUCAACUUCUUAUCCAAGUACUUGGGGAGCAGUGCAGAGGGGAUGAAUUCCCAGGAAUGGCCAGGCUCUAAAAUAAGAAGGGAGAUUAUAGAUAGGCCUGAGGAAAAAGCCAAUCCAGAUACUCACUAAAUAUCUCUUCAGGUAGAAACAGGACUUCUUGGCUCAAGGAUUAUGUCAGCAUAUGUAUUCCAUCCAGUAGAGUCUACAAGGUUGAUGCUACCUGCCCUGGGCACCGGGGCGCC